This 257-nucleotide ribosomal RNA is filed under the name uncultured bacterium. RNAcentral's name for it is "partial 16S ribosomal RNA". It matches the Rfam family "Bacterial small subunit ribosomal RNA", at positions 524 to 778 of the family's 1533-position model. The record is from RNAcentral.
UACAGAGGUCUCAAGCGUUGUUCGGAUUCAUUGGGCGUAAAGGGUGCGUAGGCGGCGCGGUAAGUCGGGUGUGAAAUCUCGGGGCUUAACUCCGAAACUGCAUUCGAUACUGCCGUGCUUGAGGACUGGAGAGGAGACUGGAAUUUACGGUGUAGCGGUGAAAUGCGUAGAUAUCGUAAGGAAGACCAGUGGCGAAGGCGGGUCUCUGGACAGUUCCUGACGCUGAGGCACGAAGGCCAGGGGGGAGCAAAACGGGG